CCUACGGGUGGCAGCAGUGGGGAAUAUUGGGCAAUGGGCGCAAGCCUGACCCAGCAACGCCGCGUGAAGGAAGAAGGCCCUCGGGUUGUAAACUCCUUUUAUCAGGGACGCAGCAAGUGACGGUACCUGAUGAAUAAGCCACGGCUAACUACGUGCCAGGAGCCGCGGUAAUACGUAGGUGGCAAGCGUUAUCAGGAUUUACUGGGUGUAAAGGUCGUGUAGGCGGGAAAGCACGUCAGAAGUGAAAACCAUGGGCUCAACCUGUGGCCUGCAUUUGAAACUGUGUGGCUUGAGUACUGGAGAGGCAGACGGAAUGCCUGGUGUAGCGGUGAAAUGCGUAGAUAUUAGGAGGAACACCAGUGGCGAAGGCGGUCUGCUGGACAGCAACUGACGCUGAGGCGCGAAAGCGUGGGGAGCAAACAGGAUUAGAUACCCGUGUAGUC
Molecule: ribosomal RNA, 443 nt
Filed under: uncultured bacterium
Lineage: Bacteria
Description: partial 16S ribosomal RNA
Rfam family: Bacterial small subunit ribosomal RNA
Source: RNAcentral